This 2827-nucleotide long non-coding RNA is filed under the name Pan troglodytes (chimpanzee). RNAcentral describes it as "long non-coding RNA NONPTRT010002". The record is from RNAcentral. Lineage: Eukaryota; Metazoa; Chordata; Mammalia; Primates; Hominidae.
UGCUCUUCUCUCUUCUGUAUAAAACUUUACGAAAUAAAGGCAAAAGAUUGUGUACAUCUUGCUGGAAAAUGCUGCCCAGGCCUCUGGAGACGGUGGCUGCCCGGGCUCCCUUCACUGUCCAGGUCCUGAAAGACUCUUGUUCAUGAACUGUCUCUUCACAAAGCAAGUCCACCACUUGCUGGGUUUAUCAUUCUGAGGGUCGAAAACUUUCUCACAAAGUCUCAGUCCAGUCUCUUGCCUUAGCUGUUGUAAAUAGGCUCUCAUCACUUCAUCUUCCUGUUUGUUUGCAGGUUUGGCAUAAAUUGCGUUAAGUGGAAAACCAGGCUCUCCAGGAAUGGGAAAAUUAGUGAUUCCCAGCGUAUACAUUUCUUUCUCACCUUGGCUUUUGGAAUUGCACUUUUGCAGUUUCUUCAGACAUUCAGAAAUGUAGAGAGUUAUAUAUAUCAAGGUCCUAUCAGCUUCAUUCUUAAUUUCAUAGUUUUUGAAGAAGACAUUGGCCUUGAAGUAAUAGAUGGCUUCAUCCACAAUAUCUGUAUCUUUUGUCUCUCUGGGGGCAGGUCCUUUGAAUUGACUUCUGAUAGGCAACAGUGCCAUGUUUCCGAUGAGUUUGGUAUCAGGAUCCAUGAGAGAAGAGUGGUAAGCCGGCAUCUUGGCGGCGCCCGGGUUUCAACCCAGAGGAGCAGGAUCCACGAGAUCAGCAGGAAGAAGAGAUGGAAGCAACGCCAUGGACCUUCACGUCCUUCAGAGUGUGGGUGGGCUUUGGCUUUGCAGUGAGAGCAAGUAUCACCCAGGAUGGAGAUGGGAGGUAAUGGGUGGCCCCGACAGGUGCCUCCUACUGCUGGCAGCAAGGAGAGAGUGAAGAGGCAGAAUUUCCUUGGUCUAGACUAGUGUCUGGGUCAUGGGCAUGGCAGUGCUUGAGCUUUUGACCAGAAGCAAGUGGACAUGGAUUUGAGCUUCGGGUAAGAAGGGAGACUUCUCUCCAGGGACCAUAGGGGCUGGCAGCUGAAGAAGGUGACUUGGCCCCUCUCUAGAGGGUGAACGCAGGAUCAAUUCAAGGCCAUGAAGUGGAUGCAGCUGGGAGAGCCUGCUUGGUGCUUUUAAACCUCAACAUGUCCACCGCAAAUACCUCAAACACUGCUCACACCGUGGUAAAAUCUAGUUGCGAAAUCUGUCCUGCGGCAGCCUUCUCCAUCCCAGGCGCCCAGGCCCCAUCUCCUGGGAGCAGGCAGCUCUCCCGACCCCGCUUCAUGCCCCUCCUACAGCCCAAGGCAACUCCCUGCAACCUUGGUGAAUGAAGCACAUCCUGCUGCCCAGGCUCCUGAGCUGUUUGCCGUGUUGCGGAGAUGCAGCCUUCAGCCUUGGAUACCCACCCACUCCUCUACUUGGGCGUUGUUUUCACAGGCUGCUCUUCCCUGUAGCUUCAGAGAAGUAGGUCAAGUAGGUUAACUCGCUUUAAGGGAGAAGUGCCAGGGGUUCAAGUCACCCAGCCUGGAGGCAGGAAUCCUGGGUUCUAUUUUUGGCUUCACAGCUAAUCUGCUGUGUGACAGUCGUUAGGAGCUCAUUCUCCCCUCUGGGUCUCCCUGAGCCCUUCUCUAGGUCCCACAAUUUUUUUUUUUCCCCUGAAGCUAUAUUCCCUGGACUGUCAUAUUCUUCCCUCUUCCCUCCCUCUGGGAGGUGCUUUAAAGCCGUUGGCUGCUCAAGGCUGGCGCCCUGGGCAAGAGGGGCUGCAGUUGUUGUAGCUGAUGAGGAGGAGAUAAGAGGCUUUUCUGUAGACACAGUUGAGCUGAUGGGCUGUGUGAGGCUGGAGUGCCAGGAAACCAGACUCCUGUAACUACAGGACAGGCCCUGGUGAUGUGAUGAUGGGGAUGUGACGGGGAUGCUGAAGCCCGGAAUGCGAGUGGGGGUUCCUGCGUUUUAUGCAAUGGCUGUAGAUUUCCUCCCACUUCUAAGCCUCCCUUUCUGUGACACGCAGGGAAAUUCAGUCUCUAGUUCAUAUGGAAACUUGGGACUUCACUGUGCUGCUUGCUCUUGGCAGAGGAUAUCAUUUGAGCUGUCACAGCAGAGGACCACAUUUACCAGGGUGCACUUUGGCCAAAGAAUAGUAACCUUUCUAAGGCUUAGUUCCUCUGGCCUGACCAAACCAGUCCCAGGAGGCCCCUGGGUUCCAGUCAAGGUCAUGGGAGAGGCCCACCAUGGAUGAGGCCUGGGGGAGCAGGGUGGAAAUUAAGUGCCCAGGUAUGGUAUGGAUAGCCUGCAGCCCUCUCCAAUCCCUACCCUCCAAACCCAGUGAGGGGGGACAUGAAACAGGUGAGGCAGAGGAGCAAAUGCGGGUCAAGAAUUCCGAACUCUACUUGACUUACAGUGCAGCUGUGAUGUGCACAUUGGUGUGUGCCACGAGACAGCAUAGUGUGGUGGAAAGAAAAUGGGUUUUGAACAGAGUGUCCUGGGUUUGAAUCUCUGCUUGCCCAUGUACUAGAGAGUAGUCGAACCUCUCUGGGCCUCAAUUUCCCAGAUGUAAAAUGGGAAUAGUAGUACUUACCUUGCACGGGUGCUGAGAGAAUUCCAUGAGACGAGACAACCUGUGUAAAGUGCCUGGCAUAGGCGCAUCACAUUAGGGCACUCAGUAAAUGUGAUGUCUUUUCUACUUGCCUUCCUGUCAUACCUGUCCCCAUGUUUUGGAUUUCUGCAGCUAAAGUUAAGAAGCUUUUUAAGACAGGAAUCCCAAUUCUCACUUUGCCUCCUUUUCAUAGCUCACCUAAAUGGCUGACUUCUGUUCAGCACCUCUUCAUGGGUGCACUAUUCUGGAGAGCGAGAUCCUAGAGUUCCG